Long non-coding RNA from Amblyraja radiata (thorny skate), 517 nucleotides. RefSeq lists it as uncharacterized. The record is from RefSeq and is a predicted model, not a curated record. Lineage: Eukaryota; Metazoa; Chordata; Chondrichthyes; Rajiformes; Rajidae. The transcript has 2 exons.
UGUUCCGGCCCAGUCUCUGAGGUCAGGUUCAAAACUCGAUGUCUAAGGUCCUCCAUUCUGAUUUUAAAUUUAUCUCCCAAAUUUCUCUUAUUCCAGAUUAGGGCCUUGGUGACAGCCUCCUGCACACGAUCAGUGGGCUGGCCCUGGCGGUAUUCAUCAUCCAAAUAUUCCAGACUGUUUUGCUCGCGGAGACCGCUUGCCGAACUCUUCCCGACUGGGCAACGAUUUUCCAGUUUCGCUAUCUCUGUAGCUUCUUCAGGGAAAGAGAUCUAAUUCUCAUCGGUUAGGGUUUUUUAAGGGGUAGGUUGAUGUUCCUCCCUUUCUGGGUGGAGCUUCCCAUGUGCUCGGUCCUAGGACCGGUCACUUUGGUUGGGCUCUACCUGUUCUUUGUUUGGACUGGUCGGUCCACUUCCAUUGUUUGUAAUGUUAUCAAAUGUAUCUGGUAUCUUGUAUCAUUUGCUGCUAGUGUUUUCAGCCUCUCUUGAUCAAUAAAUGUCCAAAUUCCUCUUGUCCACUA